CCUACGGGAGACAGCAGUGGGGAAUAUUGCGCAAUGGGCGAAACCCUGACGCAGCGACGCCGCGUGAGGGAUGAAGGUCCUCGGAUUGGUAACCCCCGUUAGCAGGGAAGAAGAAUGACGGUACCUGACUAAGAAGCCCCGGCUAACUAAGUGCCAGCAGCCGCGGUAAUACGUAGGGGGCAAGCGUUAUCCGGAUUGACUGGGUGUAAAGGGGGCGCAAACGGGGCCGCAAGCCAGGAGGUAAAGCUCGGGGCCCAACCCCGGGACUGCACUUGGAACUGCUCGGCUGGAGUGCAGGAGGGGCAGGCGGAAUUCCUGGUGUAGCGGUGAAAUGCGUAGAUAUCAGGAGGAACACCGGUGGCGAAGGCGGCCUGCUGGACUGCGACUGACGUUGAGGCCCGAAAGCGUGGGGAGCAAACAGGAUUAGAUACCCGUGUAGUC
RNAcentral lists this ribosomal RNA (441 nucleotides) under uncultured bacterium. Its description in RNAcentral is "partial 16S ribosomal RNA". It matches the Rfam family "Bacterial small subunit ribosomal RNA", at positions 338 to 795 of the family's 1533-position model. The record is from RNAcentral.